UACUAGAAUUCAUAACCAAAAACCCAUUUUGAAGUGAAGAUGGGAACAAAAGUGAUGAGGCCUUCAGUGGCUUCUCUAAUCACCAGUCUCCUAGUGGCAUUACUGUCUCUAAGCUUGCCAUUAGAGACCACAGCUAACUACCAUUACUCAUCUCCUCCACCACCUCCCAAGAAGUACCCACCACCACAUCCUCAUCCUUAUCACUACAAAUCACCACCGCCGCCGCCGCCGGUACACUACUCACCGCCACAUCAUCCCUACAAGUACAAAUCCCCACCACCACCGCCGCCUCCAGUUUACAAGUACAAAUCACCACCACCACCAUCACCGCUACCACCAGUGCACCACUUACCACCACCACAUCCGUAUAAAUACAAAUCUCCACCGCCACCACCAGUGCACCAAUUACCACCAGUGCACCAUUUACCACCACCACAUCCGUACAAGUACAAAUCUCCACCACCACCACCAGUGCACCAUUUACCACCAGUGCACCACUUACCACCACCACAUCCGUACAAAUACAAAUCUCCACCACCACCACCGCCUCCAGUUUACAAGUACAAAUCACCACCACCACCAUCACCGCCACCACCAGUACACCACUUACCACCACCACAUCCGUAUAAAUACAAAUCUCCACCGCCACCACCAAUGCACCAAUUACCACCAGUGCACCACUUACCACCACCACAUCCGUACAAAUACAAAUCUCCACCACCACCACCAGUGCACCAUUUACCACCAGUGCACCAAUUACCACCAGUGCACCACUUACCACCACCACAUCCGUACAAAUACAAAUCUCCACCGCCACCACCAGUGCACCAAUUACCACCAGUGCACCAUUUACCACCACCACAUCCGUACAAAUACAAAUCUCCACCACCACCACCAGUGCACCACUUACUACCGCCAAUCCACAAGUCUCCACCACUGCCACCACACAAGAAGCCCUACAAGUACUCGUCUCCUCCCCCACCACCCUACAAGUACAAGUCUCCUCCUCCUCCCCCUCCAGUUUACAAAUAUAAGUCACCACCGCCACCACCUCCGGUGCACAAGCCACCACCCCACCACUACCACUACAGCUCACCUCCUCCUCCCCACCACUACUAAGAAAUGGCUUUGAUAUAGUUCUAAGUUGUGUUGCUGGUUUUGUUGUUUUUGGUGGCUUCACCAACUUCUGAGGAAAGGAGCUGAAUAAAAUAAAGAAGGCCAGUGUUUGCAAAGCUUUUUUAAUUAGAGAAGAGAGAGAAGGAAGGCAACAAGAAGAUGAGGACGAGCAAGAAGAAGUAGAAUAAGCCAAAAAAACAGCCUGUGUGUUUGAUUGUAUGUUGAUAAUGUUGUAAUAUUGCAGUGGUCCAUGCAAGUAUGCAUGUAUGAAUGUUUUGACCUCUUGACAAGUGUGCAGAGAGGUCAUUUAUAUAAUAAAAAAGUGAUAAUGUUUCAUCCUUUCACA
Molecule: RNA transcript, 1462 nt
Organism: Camellia sinensis
Lineage: Eukaryota; Viridiplantae; Streptophyta; Magnoliopsida; Ericales; Theaceae
Source: RefSeq, a predicted model, not a curated record